RNAcentral lists this unclassified non-coding RNA (384 nucleotides) under soil metagenome. RNAcentral describes it as "partial contains 5.8S ribosomal RNA, internal transcribed spacer 2, and large subunit ribosomal RNA". The stretch from base 5 to 119 matches the Rfam family "5.8S ribosomal RNA", at positions 40 to 154 of the family's 154-position model. The record is from RNAcentral.
GAUGAGAACGUAGCGAAAUGCGAUAAGUAAUGUGAAUUGCAGAAUUCAGUGAAUCAUCGAAUCUUUGAACGCAUCUUGCGCUCCUUGGUAUUCCGAGGAGCAUGCCUGUUUGAGUGUCAUUAAAUUCUCAACUACACUGAUUUUUUUUGGUUGGUGUAGAUUGGAUUUGGGGGAAUUUUUUGCGGGCUUUGUAAAAUGAAGUCGGCUCCCCUGAAAUUAAUUAGUGGUACCUUAGUAGAACUGUCUACAGGUGUGAUAAUUUAUCUACACCUCAGAUGUCUGCAUGAAAAAGGUUAUGCUGCUUCUUAACCUCACUAAUGAUAAUCUUGACCUCAAAUCAGGUAGGACUACCCGCUGAACUUAAGCAUAUCAAUAAGCGGAGGA